UACUGAUGUGUUUUGGUUUGAAAUACUCUCCAUAUGGUGAAGCAGAAAUUAUCUUGUAAAAUGUGGAAACCGUAUUGAGAUUCGUGCUACAUCAGCUUGUAAUGUUUAUUUCAAAGACCAUGGCAUCUAAAAUGAUUUUAAAUGGAAAGCAGAAGGGUGGCUGAUUAUUGUGCUUCUUGAGACCAGUACUUUUUUUGUUUAAGAUUACCUUUGCAAUAUCCCAUAUAACAUGGACAACGCUUAGUUGAGGGCCUUAAUACCUUGAGUAAUCAACUUUUCAAAUCCCACAAACUUCUCUGACAACAGGUAGGAUGUAGAGGUUAGGGUAUUCCAGAUCCUUAACCCUGGUCCACACUAAUCUUGAAAAUGCUAGUAACAGUACCAUUUAAGUUAUGUUUAACCAUGGCUAUCAUAGAGAUGAGUUGCUGAAGAAAGGAUUUAACGUGUAUUUAAAACCUUCAUUGUAUUUGACUUUUGUUGAAACAUGUCAACAGAACACCAUACCAGUAUUCCAGUCUAAGUCAAAGAUGAUCUGAACCCAAAUCACUGAGAUGUGCAUCCACUGCAGAUGAUGUAUUAAUUGCCCUUGUGGAACAGACCCAAAAGUCCAUUGCCUGCUAAGAGGUGUGAUUGUCCAUGACUUUACUACAGGGCCGUUGGAUAUGGUUGAGCACGUUGAUGAUGAGCUCCGCCUUAACUGAAGGUUUAGUCUUCAACAAAAAUCAUUUCUUCCAAAAGAUCGCUACAUAGGGAAGUUAAAUGCAUGUUCAUAAACUGGAAAAGCCUUGUACCUGUGUAGUUUCACCCCAGGACUUGCAUGAGUAAACUACACUCGCUGCUGUUAGAUGUCUAAAAUGAGCAGCUGCAGACAUGACUGUGUGGUGACGUCAAGUGUGGUUUGUUUUGCAACAAGCAGCCUUUGGUCAUGAGUUGCAACAUAAGCAGGCAUAUCUAAACCAUUUGGAAGUUCCUCGCAUCGCAUGUGAGCCGUGGGUGUCUGUAUUUUCUCAGUGCAGAGACAACAUAAGCGUCUGGAUCAGAGGGAAGCACAUUGGAGCCCACGGAUGGUGUGUCCAUGAUGAGCACCCAGCCCAGAGAAGAUGGGCAGGCAGUGUGUGGUUUCAACUCUUCCUGUGGUUACAAAGGAAAGACAAGAAGUGCAGAUGCAUAUUUACAAUAUGCUAAGAAAUAUGCACGUACCCUAGGCACUGACACAGGCUGGGUGUCCAGUGCCCAACUAAAGUUUCCAUAUGGCCACUAGCUCUGUGGUUAUAUCUCAGCGCAUCUCUUCCUGCCAGUUGCUGUUACAUUCACCCUCACGCGAUGUCUCCAUUAGAACAAUUGGGCUUUCCUGCCACACUGUGUCAGUGAGCCUGCCUAGAUUACUAUGGGUAAGUAGGAAAAUACGUGACUCAUACAAAGCACCCGGGACUUAAUCCCUGAAAGAGCUCUGGCCUUGGGCCUCAGUGGUGCCAAUUUGGAACGUGUUUAUCUUCUUGACCCCUCUGUUUUACCUGCUCAGUCCCACUAAGCUCUGACCCUGGCUAUUGUUUCCCCAGCCAAUGAAAUGAGCAACAGGAUAAACUUUGAAUAAACUCCAACGCUCCCAUCCCCGUGGACUACAGCAUCCGGCGGCUAGACUGCUGCCAGGCCAAUGGGGUACAGGAGGGAGGGUGGAGGCAUGUGCAGGAUGGGGUCAUGUGGAGCCUGGAAGAUGAAGGCAAGGAGCUGUAACUUAUUGUGAUCCGUUACUGCACAAUACUGCCCUGUUGUCUUUAUCUAGCUAAGCUUCUUAUCUGGCCCCCAUUAUCUGAGCGACUCACAAUCUUUAAUGCAUUUAUUAUUAGUAGUAGUAAUUCUUUGUUAUGCAGUACAGCCUAGGAGCCCCAGUCACAGACCAGGACCCCAGUAUGGACAAACACAGAACAAAAGUAUUCAUCCUCCCAAUGCCCUUUGCAAGUGCCGUUAUUCCCAUUUUACAGGUGGGGAAUGGAGGCACAGAGAGAUGAGAGGCCAGAUUUUUAGUGCACCAAAUGAUCCAGGUGGGCAAUGAGUGGGAUUUUCAAAAGCUCUGAGCUGCAUCUUUAGGUGCCUAAAACCUGGCCCUAAAUGACUUGCCCAAGCGGUCACAGAGGAAAUCUGUGACAGAGCAGAAACUUGAAGAGCCUCCCAAGACCUAGGCUAGUGCCCUAACCACUGGAUAAUUAGCCCUGCCUCUCAUUUUAUAAGGGAAGCUUCCUCUGUCCAUAAUGCUCGUGUGUCCCUGCUGCUGGGCCUUUGGCCCAAAUUGACUCCUUGGCAGGCCGAGAGCAUGGCAGACUUGCACGGCCUGUGUGAGAGGGGCUGACCCCUUGACAGUUUUGUGUGUUUGUCCCUCUCUGUAUAAAGCAGCUCCCUCCCCGCACCAGCUGUUGUUCUUUCCUGUUCCUGGAAGCCAGGUUGCGCAUUAGGGUCAGACCCAAUUAUAACAUGUGGUGGGUACUUUGGAGCCUUUAAACCUAGACACGUUCCCCCACAGUGAAAAGAAGCAUUGCUGUGACUGCUUUCCUGUUCUGUAUCUAUUCAUAGCUAGAACGAUCUAGCUUCUGAAGGUAGCAUCCCUCAUUAGUCUGCUCAAUGGAGCCAUUCAGAUUACCUUAUCAUUAUCAGCCAGAUGGAUGAGUUUGAAAUAACCCCAUUGACAUGCUCUGGUUAUGCACCAUUAUAAACCAGCCGCACCAAAACUCCCAAGCUGAGGUGUUGGCUGAAGGGACCGAUUGCUGGGGAAGCCGUGUGUCGCUUCUGUGUUUGCUUAACCUACUGUGUGAAUUCUUGCGAUGAGCACAGUUUGGCUUCAGUCCCUUACAAGUAAAACCUCCCUUGUUACCUGGAGGGAAUAUUGAUACAUGAACAAAGGUAACGUACGUAGGGCGGCGAGAGCAAAAUAAACAGCUAUGGAAUGGAGGGAAAGUUUGCAUCAACGCCAAGCAUAUUGAAAACAAUGUCUCAGUUGGGAGGUGUCUAGACAUUGAUCCCAUGUAGCGGACACAAGGCUCUGCUGCAGCAGACCCUCAGAAGAGCUUGGGAGACACAUGCAGAGAGCAGAGAAAGAUGACUGACAGAGCAUGACUCUCCCAUGUGCCCUCUCACAGAGACUGUUUUCUGCUGCAAUCGUGUUCACAGUGAAAAUAUUUUCGCCACUCCAGGGUUUUUGUCAUGCAGGCUUGAAGGGCCACAUCAUCAUCAUAAUACACACUGCUGUGGUGGUGUCCUUCCAAGGAGCUGACGGCUUUUAAUGCCUUGGAAUGAAUUAAGCCGCAAAGAGCCCUUCUGAGAUGGUUAGGGAUUGGCAGCCCUGCUUUACAGAUGGGGACAGUGAGGAAGAGAAAGAUCAGGUGACUUGUCCAUAGGCCCCCUGGAAUUUAGGGCAGAGCUGGGAAACGAGCUCAGGUCCCCUGAUACCACAGCUGGGGUCUUAAGCACAAGCCUAUUCUUCCUAGCUGCAGCUUCCAAAAUUGUGCACUCGGCUGAUCUGGUCCGUAAAAACUGGCGUGGACUAGCUUUGUCCAUGUACAUUAAAAAAACGGGAUGUGUUCCAAGAUGUGCAGGGUAGGAUGACCCAGUGGUGUAAUGAUGGGGGUGUGUGUAUCCUUAUUGCUGCCUGCCCUCUGUUCCUGUUUGUUUUUUGGUGCCUGCUCCCUCAACUCCGUGGUCCAGUUUGCACACAUGUGCAUGCGGGGGGGUGUUUGUGUGUGUGUGUACAUAGCAUUAGGUGUGUGCAGUUGCUGCUACAUACCUGCCAUUGGGACUGUAUUAUGUUUUGUUCAGGCUGUUGCUGGUUAUUACAUGUUUUGAUUGACCACCUACUUGUGAUUCUUGUCUUAAUUUCCUUGUAUUUUGAGAUGGCUGUUCUGGGUGCAGCAGAUCAUAACAAGUGGUAAAAACACUUGCACCCACUGUCUGCCCUACUGUUCUCACCAGGGGAACUGCACCAGCACUAGACCAACGGAACAGGGGUGGGAAGCGCUGAAAUUUCCCAGUGUAGAUGGGGUCCCUGACACUUUUGCUUCCUGGGACAGGCAGGGCUAGGAGGAUCCAGGAAGGUGGUUUGGGGGGAAUUUUGCACCCCACCAUAAUACCUUCUCCCCACCCCAAUAUAGCCUUGUGGGUCCUUGGCUUUGUGGGGUGAAGUGUUUGCAUGGAGCAUGCAAGUUUGCAUUGUUGGAGAGGGUACUGGGGUGAAAAGGGGGCUGCCUAGAAUGCUUGAAGGCCCUAAUCCAUAUCAGCUCCCUGCCUGAACUGCCUGCCCAGUAGGAAAUGAGGGCUCGCUUAGCACCCUCCUGAGGUACAGCCACCUGCUUAAGUCCCUGCAGAAGGAAGACAAAUGGGUUGCCAAAGAACAAUGACUAACUCAGUGGGCCCCAGACCUGUGGGCCUGUUUGCUCUCCUCAAGCCCAAGCAGUGGCUAUAAGGCAGAGCAGUGUGUAUUUCCUGGCGGUAUGUACCUGCUCAACGGCACUGUGUCUCCCUGACGGGUGCUGCUUCAGCAGACAACUGCUUGCCCGCAGCAGAGCUGUCAUGCACCUCUGGCUUUCAAGCUUGUGUCUCGUGGGCAAAGUAUCUGCACCCUAGAUCUUGCACAGCCCUAGGAAAUGGCCGUGCUUCUUGAGCACACGGGCUGUGGAAGAUGGUGUCACCUUGAAAAGGGAUCAGAGAAACUGAUAUGUAAAAGGCGCUCAGCUACUACAGGGACGAUGAGCAUGGCAUUAAUGUGCAGACAGAUAGAUUAGAUAGAAAAGGGCAAGCUCAGAGCUAAUUCUCAGCAGCAGGCGAAGAACCUCCAGCUCACUUCAAAGUAGCAGCCCACACAGCCCUGCUGAGAUAAACCAACACAGCCCCUGUUUAGUGACUGGCUUUCUCUUGCCGUAUUCAUGCAGGGCUAGAUUGUUCCUCUAAGGCACAGCCCUGGGCAACACUUGCUGCAUAAAGUGCUCUUCCUCAAGAGACCCUUCUGAAUCAGAGUCCCCUCCCUACUUCCCCAUGCUUGGCGGGGAGUGUGUCUGUGUGUGUCUGUGUGCGCGUAACAUCCUGCUGGUCUACCCUGGCAGCAAGCUCUGCACCACAGUGCAAAUCAGCUGUGUUGGCCAAUACGUUGUGGGUAGGGUGGAGCCAAGAUCUGGCCAUUCCCUGUUCACCCCCUCCCCGCUUGCGUGGUAACACACAGCGCUUGCCUCCGCCUUUGCACCCAGCACCAAGGUCCCGGGCCCAAGGUCCAAAUUGCCCCCACUGGGAGAUGGGCCAGGUUCUUACUUCACUUCCCUGCACAGGAUGUGGGCCGAGUUACCAUCCCCCUACCGUUAACUUACACCCCACCUGGACUCCCACUGCUACUUGUCUCUCAGAGACAAUCUGUGCCUGUAGGAGCCCAGCCUGCCUGCACGUUUCUACAGUGCUGGUACGGAAGCAGACAGACAGGCAGCUUAAAGAACGCAGCCACGGUAACUCCGGCUGUACCCUGAUAAGAGUAACAGUUGACUCAGAGGAACGCACUGCUCCAAAGCAGCUUAGAAACAGCCCAGACAAUCGGAGCGUUUCAGAAUAUUUCUUCUGGGGCCACAACAUUUUCAAAAAAAUCCAUUGGCCUUUCCUGCCAUUCUCCGCUAGUUGCUGCUCCCUUUCCAGGGAUCGUGAUAACAGGGGCUGUCCUGGACGCCUCUCCAGAACUCAUGCUUUUCAACAGUCUCUCUCUGCUUGACCUCGUGGGCUGAAGAAGGUAACUACUGGCCAGGUUUGGCCUGGUGCUGGCCCACGGGACAUCCCUCCUUCCAAGAAGCUGUGAUUGUCCUCUGAACAUAAAGGAGUUUUGGACGUGGGCUCUGCUCUGAUUUUCAGCACUAUUUAAGCGACUCUCCUCAGCUGGUGAUAAGUGGCUGUGAAUCUUAUUCUGCCACCACGGUUUUAGGGUUAUAGGCUCUUAAACUGAUAGAGAAUAGACCUUGCCUUUGAUCUGUAAUGUGACUGCCUCUGCUUACAUAUAUAUAUGAAAAUUGAUUCAUAUUAACAAAGAACCAGUGCAAAUAUAUUUUGAAGGUUCACGAAGAUCAGAGAACUCUUUCCCCCCAUUAUGGGACACGUAUGUGGUCAUGUACCUGAGAUACAGGGCUCGGAGCCCAAGGAUCUGAGUUGUUUCUGGCUCAACCACAGACUUCCUGUAUGAUCUCAGGUGAGCCAUUUAAACUCCCCGUGCCUCAGUUUCCCCAUCCGUGAUAAGGAUAUGAAACUAUUCAUCUUUAAUAGGGCUGUUGGCCGGCAUAAGCAGUUUGUGAAGCACUUUGCAAUCUUCAUAUGAAUGGUGCAAUAUAAAUGGCAAGUAUUAUUAUUUUUCAUUUUCAUACCAUCACCACCUGUGUUCAGCUGGGACUGAAAGGAAUAAGUGUUAAAAUAUCACAAGAAGGGCUACUGAGAGAUCACUCCCAAGUUCUGCAGCCCCAAGAGGUUGGGACAGGACUGGAUAAACAUCUGGGGGCAGAGCCUUAAUGAGUGUAAAUCACUCAGUGAAGUGACACUGAUGUACACUGGCUGAGGAUCUGGCUCGUUCUGGAUGCUUAGCCUAGUUGUGCUGGACCCUUUGAAGUUUGCUCAUCACCAAUGAGUAGAUAAGAUGUAUAGGAACUUUUUCAACCAUCUGGCAAUAUUUAAUAACUGCUACACUCCAUAGCAGACACUAUUUGUAAGAUGUGUAUAAGGACUGAUACUUUCAGGGACACAGCUGCUUUUCUCUUCACAGCAAAGGCAUCAAACUUUGGUUCUAUUCUGGGAAAAAAAUUGAAAAUGGUUGCAUGUUUAUUGUCUCUCAUUGAAUCCAGAUGCAAUGUGCUGAUUUUACAUGUGCUGAGUUUACCAUCGUUGCCCCUUUUUCCCAGCAGUAGCAAAAUUCUGGGACCUUGCGGAUCAGCUUUCCAGGGGAUGAGAAAUCUGUCACACAGAGUCUGGGUAUAAUCUAAGUGUAACCUGGUUUAUUUACACAUAUACAUCCAUUCCUAGAAUAGGGGCAGUUGCAAAUAGCGUGCAAACAGUCCCCUCUUCCAGAAAUCUCAGCCCUACACUACUGCCCAGUUAUGCCUCAAGAAUUACCUCAAAAUAUAGAGAAUAAAGCAGAGAGCUGUGGUUUAUUGAGGACUGUGUUGGAACUGCAAGCUGUCACUUUGAGAGAGCUGGGUGGUAAUUCCUGUUCCUGCUUUCAGGCGAGGGGCUCUGUAGGAAAGUGCAAUCAGAGACAGAGUCAGUCUGGAAAGAACCAGCCUAGAAAAAGAUGUGGUGAGUUGUGCCUAUCUGCUUUGGGGAGCAGUCUGCUUUGUCUCUCUGUGUGUUUUUGG
Long non-coding RNA from Caretta caretta (loggerhead turtle), 7355 nucleotides. RefSeq lists it as uncharacterized. Lineage: Eukaryota; Metazoa; Chordata; Testudines; Cheloniidae. The record is from RefSeq and is a predicted model, not a curated record.